Molecule: ribosomal RNA, 397 nt
Filed under: uncultured bacterium
Lineage: Bacteria
Description: partial 16S ribosomal RNA
Rfam family: Bacterial small subunit ribosomal RNA
Source: RNAcentral
AUACGUAGGGGGCGAGCGUUGUCCGGAAUGAUUGGGCGUAAAGGGCGCGUAGGCGGCGCGGUAAGUCUGGAGUGAAAGUCCUGCUUUCAAGGUGGGAAUUGCUUUGGAUACUGCCGCGCUUGAGUGCAGGAGAGGUUAUCGGAAUUCCCGGUGUAGCGGUGAAAUGCGUAGAGAUCGGGAGGAACACCAGUGGCGAAGGCGGGUAACUGGACGGCAACUGACGCUGAGGCGCGAAAGUGUGGGGAGCAAACAGGAGUAGAUACCCUGGUAGUCCACACUGUAAACGAUGAAUGCUAGGUGUAAGAGGUAUCGACCCCUUUUGUGCCGGAGUUAACACAAUAAGCAUUCCGCCUGGGGAGUACGGCCGCAAGGUUGAAGCUCAAAUGAAUUGACGGGG